GAUGAACGCUGGCGGCGUGCUUAAUACAUGCAAGUCGAGCGAACGGACGAGAAGCUUGCUUCUCUGAUGUUAGCGGCGGACGGGUGAGUAACACGUGGAUAACCUACCUAUAAGACUGGGAUAACUUCGGGAAACCGGAGCUAAUACCGGAUAAUAUUUUGAACCGCAUGGUUCAAAAGUGAAAGACGGUCCUGCUGUCACUUAUAGAUGGAUCCGCGCUGCAUUAGCUAGUUGGUAAGGUAACGGCUUACCAAGGCAACGAUGCAUAGCCGACCUGAGAGGGUGAUCGCCCACACUGGAACUGAGCCACGGUCCAGACUCCUACGGGAGGCCGCAGUAGGGAAUCUUCCGCAAUGGGCGGAAGCCUGACGGAGCAACGCCGCGUGAGUGAUGAAGGUCUUCGGAUCGUAAAACUCUGUUAUUAGGGAAGAACAUAUGUGUAAGUAACUGUGCACAUCUUGACGGUACCUGAUCAGAAAGCCACGGCUAACUACGUG
Molecule: ribosomal RNA, 497 nt
Filed under: uncultured bacterium
Lineage: Bacteria
Description: partial 16S ribosomal RNA
Rfam family: Bacterial small subunit ribosomal RNA
Source: RNAcentral